This 430-nucleotide ribosomal RNA is filed under the name uncultured bacterium. RNAcentral's name for it is "bacterial SSU rRNA". It matches the Rfam family "Bacterial small subunit ribosomal RNA", at positions 917 to 1344 of the family's 1533-position model. The record is from RNAcentral.
GGACCCGCACAAGCAGUGGAGCAUGUGGUUUAAUUCGAAGAUACGCGCAGAACCUUACCAACACUUGACAUGUUCGUCGCGAGACUAAGAGAUUAGUCUUUUCAGUUCGGCUGGACGAAACACAGGUGCUGCAUGGCUGUCGUCAGCUCGUGUCGUGAGAUGUUGGGUUAAGUCCCGCAACGAGCGCAACCCCCUACUUUUAGUUGCCACCAUUUAGUUGGGCACUUUAAAAGAACUGCCAGUGAUAAGCUGGAGGAAGGUGGGGAUGACGUCAAGUCCUCAUGGCCCUUAUGUGUUGGGCUACACACGUGCUACAAUGGUACUUACAAUGGGAAGCAAAGAGGCGACUCCUAGCUAAUCCCUAAAAUGUACCUCAGUUCGGAUUGUACUCUGUAACUCGAGUGCAUGAAGCUGGAAUUGCUAGUAAUCG